This 498-nucleotide ribosomal RNA is filed under the name uncultured bacterium. RNAcentral's name for it is "partial 16S ribosomal RNA". It matches the Rfam family "Bacterial small subunit ribosomal RNA", at positions 30 to 523 of the family's 1533-position model. The record is from RNAcentral.
AUUGAACGCUGGCGGCAUGCCUUACACAUGCAAGUCGAACGGUAACAGGUCUUCGGAUGCUGACGAGUGGCGAACGGGUGAGUAAUAGAUCGGAACGUGCCUAGUAGUGGGGGAUAACUACUCGAAAGAGUGGCUAAUACCGCAUGAGAUCUACGGAUGAAAGCAGGGGAUCGCAAGACCUUGUGCUACUAGAGCGGCCGAUGGCAGAUUAGGUAGUUGGUGGGAUAAAAGCUUACCAAGCCGACGAUCUGUAGCUGGUCUGAGAGGACGAUCAGCCACACUGGGACUGAGACACGGCCCAGACUCCUACGGGAGGCAGCAGUGGGGAAUUUUGGACAACGGGCGAAAGCCUGAUCCAGCAAUGCCGCGUGCAGGAUGAAGGCCUUCGGGUUGUAAACUGCUUUUGUACGGAACGAAAAGCCCCGGGUUAAUACCCUGGGGUAAUGACGGUACCGUAAGAAUAAGCACCGGCUAACUACGUGCCAGCCGCCGCCGUAA